AUUAAUUUAACGUAAAGUUUAAUUCAUAAAGUUUAUGUUUAAAGUUUAAUUUAACGUAAAGUUUAUAUUAUUAAAGUUUAUUAUUUUUGUAAAUUUAACAUAAUUGUUUAUCAUAAAUUAAUAAUAUAAUCAAUUAUCUUUGUCCAUUUAACAUAAUAUAUAAAACACGUGAAUAAUUUAGUAAUCAAUAUAUUUGUUAAUUUAACGAAGUUAUGAUUUAGUAAUUUAUAUAGUUAUAAAAUAAAUAAAUAAAUAAAUAAUUUUUUUAAAUAAAUAAAUUGUCAAAAAUCGAAAAAAUGAAUAAAAUAAUAUAGGGCUGUUCAUUUGGUGUAAUGGUCGGACAAGAAUUUUGGUUUGGUGUAUAAUGGUGCAAAUUUUGGUGCAGUUGGAGAUGGCCUAAGCCAUCUUAGCUGAGCCAGAAAGUCUCUGAAAAUACAAACAAGAACCUAUUGUACUCCUCAUGAAACAAUUAAAGCAGAAUUCAAGCAGCAAAUCACACAUUGAGCAAAAAUAAAAGCUUCUAAAGUAAAUCAAGGUGAAUAAAGAAUAACCCAACAAAACUUUCAUAUUUCAGACAGAAGACAAUAAAAGGCAAGGUCUUGAAUAAAACUAAAGAAACUAACAAAAAAAUCCACAAAAUAGAAAAAAGGUAGCAAAAUCUAAAUCUUUUCAGCUAGGUCGAGCAAAACUAAAGAAAAACCAAAAGCUACCAACAAUGACGGUCCUUACCGAGACCUUUCUCCAAUUUAAAUAAAUAAGUAAACAACCAGUUAAAUGUGAAACCUCUGCCUUAAGAUGAAUAUGAUAUGGGAAUCCUCUCUUUUAAUGUAGAGUUAGGAAAAACGACGACGAAGAAGAAGAAGAAAAUGAACUGGAUAAAGAAUACCGCAGCCUCAUACUUCACUAAAGGCCACUAAACUUCCUCCCCAAUUCGAUCGAAAAUUGCUGGAACUUUAUCCCCUUCUUUCAACUAAACUAAAAUAAAAUUCCCGUUUUCAAGCUUAUCACUCAAAAUAAAUAAAAAAGAAGAGAAAGAAGAAAAUGGACUGGAUCCGUGCUAUUGCACCUUUCUUCUUCCUUUUUUGGGAUUUGGUCGAGAGAGGAGCUCGCAAAAACAGAGGACUCGUGGGGUGUGAGAGAGAGAGAGCAAAAGCCAAUUUUAUACGAGAGAUAUUUAGAGGAACUAGUUCAUGAACAGUAACUAAAGGAUUAUAGUGUGAAAAGGAGGGCUUCACAAAUAAACAGUGAUCUUGGGAUUGUCUCUUUAAGAGAAGGUAGAUUUAGAAUGACUCAGUCUUCCAUUAUGUCUUCCACGACUACUAAAUUCAAGAAAUUUCUCUCAUUUGUAUCUUCAUGGAACUGAUUUUCAUAGAAGGCUAAUAUCAACAACAAAAAGGGCAAAACAUUAACAAGACUAUAUUCUUUCUG
RNAcentral lists this long non-coding RNA (1428 nucleotides) under Olea europaea subsp. europaea. The record is from RNAcentral. Lineage: Eukaryota; Viridiplantae; Streptophyta; Magnoliopsida; Lamiales; Oleaceae.